RNAcentral lists this ribosomal RNA (253 nucleotides) under uncultured bacterium. RNAcentral's name for it is "partial 16S ribosomal RNA". It matches the Rfam family "Bacterial small subunit ribosomal RNA", at positions 524 to 776 of the family's 1533-position model. The record is from RNAcentral.
UACAGGGGGUGCAAACGUUGCUCGGAAUUAUUGGGCGUAAAGCGCACGUAGGCGGUUCGUUAUGUCGGAUGUGAAAGCCCUUGGCUUAACCGAGGAAGUGCAUCCGAAACUGGCGAGCUAGAGUACGAAAGAGGAUCGCGGAAUUCCCGGUGUAGAGGUGAAAUUCGUAGAUAUCGGGAGGAACACCGGUGGCGAAGGCGGCGAUCUGGGACGAUACUGACGCUGAGGUGCGAAAGCGUGGGGAGCAAACAGG